This 505-nucleotide ribosomal RNA is filed under the name uncultured bacterium. RNAcentral describes it as "bacterial SSU rRNA". It matches the Rfam family "Bacterial small subunit ribosomal RNA", at positions 15 to 518 of the family's 1533-position model. The record is from RNAcentral.
GAUUCUGGCUCAGGACGAACGCUGGCGGCGUGCCUAACACAUGCAAGUCGAGCGGGGACACAUUUGGAAGUUUCGGAUGGAAGAAGUGUGUUCUAGCGGCGGACGGGUGAGUAACGCGUGAGCAACCUGUCCCUCACAGGGGAAUAACGCAUCGAAAGGUGUGCUAAUACCGCAUGAGACCACGGUACCGACAUGGUACAGGGGUUAAAGGAGCAAUCCGGUGAGGGGUGGGCUCGCGUCUGAUUAGCUGGUUGGUGAGGUAACGGCUCACCAAGGCGACGAUCAGUAGCCGACCUGAGAGGGUGAUCGGCCACAUUGGAACUGAGAAACGGUCCAAACUCCUACGGGAGGCAGCAGUGGGGAAUAUUGGGCAAUGGGCGAAAAAGCCUGACCCAGCAACGCCGCGUGAAGGAAGAAGGUUUUCGGAUCGUAAACUUCUAUCCUAGGUGAAGAUAAUGACGGUAGCCUAGAAGGAAGCCCCGGCUAACUACGUGCCAGCCGCUGC